GAUAAACGCUGGCGGCGUGCCUAAUGCAUGCAAGUCGAACGGUCUAGCAUCUUCGGAAGCUAGGUAGUGGCAAACGGGUGAGUAACACGUGGGGAUCUGCCCAGUAGUGGGGAACAACUCCUCGAAAGAGGAGCUAAUACCGCAUACGGUCGAAGGACUAAAGCCAUCGCAAGAUGGCGCUAUUGGAGGAACCUGCGGCUGAUUAGCUAGUUGGUGGGUAAAGCCACCAAGGCGAUGAUCAGUAGCUGGUCUGAGAGGAUGGACAGCCACACUGGGACUGAGAUACGG
Molecule: ribosomal RNA, 288 nt
Filed under: uncultured bacterium
Lineage: Bacteria
Description: partial 16S ribosomal RNA
Rfam family: Bacterial small subunit ribosomal RNA
Source: RNAcentral